Long non-coding RNA from Felis catus (domestic cat), 990 nucleotides. RefSeq lists it as uncharacterized. The transcript has 3 exons. NCBI's taxonomy places the organism in Eukaryota, Metazoa, Chordata, Mammalia, Carnivora, Felidae. The record is from RefSeq and is a predicted model, not a curated record.
CAGAAGCAUUCACUAACAAUAAAGGGAAAAUAAAACAGUUAGGUCUAAGUUAUUUGAAUUUUUCUGAAUUUUGCCCAAUUGCUUAACUUUGAUCUUGUGCAACUGAACUUGCCCUCAGAGGUUCCCUGGAGUAUUAAGAGCCUAAGAAGACUAAUUUUCAAAUUAACCAUUCAGCAAAAUCAUCUUUUCCACUGAAUUACGGUUUCAAGAACGAAUUACAACUUGAAGAAUGAGUGGGUACCCAAAAGUAAGCAACAGCAGCUAAUGAGACCAUUUUGCGACUCUAUGAAAACUUCAUUAUUAUCUGCUGGGAAUUCUGCCACUUAAAUUUCAACAUUCCACUGAAGCUCUUCUAGUGUCAAAGUGAAUGACAGACAACACCUCCUCCUGGCAAUGUCCAGGCUAAAGUCAACUCAGCUCGGUCAUAGUAUAGAAAUGGUAAGUUUCAAUCAGAGGUUAAUUCAAAUUUGGUAUGAGUCAAGGUUCCCUCCUUCUGAAAUCUGCCCUGACCACACCUCUGCAGCUACCUGCCCGGGAGGUAGCUUACUACCUGGGCAAGAAUGCAGGUCAGACUUUUCCGUGUGUUGAUAAUAUGCCAAUCUUGAUAAACCAGCACUGAAAGUUUAAUAGAUAUGUUUUCAUUUAGAUGACAACACAGAAUACAAGUAUUCCAAACUCUCACAAGGGUUAAAUAAUGAGUUUUCUGCUCUGAUUUAUCUUUAUAUAAAGUGAUAUAUCUGAACCAUAUUAGUCAUAGCCUUCAUAAAAAAAGACUGGUUAUAUUUUGAUGUAUUCACAGUUUGAAAUGCAAGUUGGAUUACUUUUUUUAAAAAGGUCCUUGAAAAACGUCUUUUCCUUUUAUUUAAAGACCUGUUAAAAACACCGAGUGUGGGGGUGUCUGGGUGGCUCAGUUAGUUAAGCGUCUGACUCCCGGUUUCAGCUCAGGUCAUGAUCUCACAGUUUCGUGGGUUUGAGCCGCGUGUCAGGCUC